AACACCCACUUCUGAUCAGAAUUUGGAUAUGGGACCAUCACCAAUGAUUCCAGAAGGGCCGAAAACCCUGGGGGUGGUAGAGAUUUCGUCCAAAUCGCCCGAAAUUGACAGAUCGAAUCCCGAGGGGCCGAAAACUGAUUUUUCAAUUAACCCUUCCACAGAGCUCAAACAGGGACACGCGCCCGACCAUCAGAUUACCCAUGAAAAGGCGA
RNAcentral lists this long non-coding RNA (212 nucleotides) under Olea europaea (common olive). Its description in RNAcentral is "long non-coding RNA (OEUR_LNC011894)". The record is from RNAcentral. Lineage: Eukaryota; Viridiplantae; Streptophyta; Magnoliopsida; Lamiales; Oleaceae.